UGAAAAAAGCAAACUAGAUGAAAAUCUAGGACGCAAAGCAAACGGUCUAAGGGAAGUUAAUAGUAACUUUCUAUGAUAGCGUAGCUACCG
This 90-nucleotide non-coding RNA is filed under the name uncultured Colwellia sp. Its description in RNAcentral is "Cyclic di-GMP-I riboswitch". It matches the Rfam family "c-di-GMP-I riboswitch aptamer". From Rfam's summary of the family: GEMM was predicted in a large-scale screen for bacterial structured RNA regulatory elements. Lineage: Bacteria; Pseudomonadati; Pseudomonadota; Gammaproteobacteria; Alteromonadales; Colwelliaceae. The record is from RNAcentral.